CCUACGGGGGGCAGCAGUGAGGAAUAUUGGUCAAUGGACGAGAGUCUGAACCAGCCAAGUAGCGUGAAGGAUGACUGCCCUAUGGGUUGUAAACUUCUUUUAUAUGGGAAUAAAAUGUUCCACGUGUGGGAUUUUGUAUGUACCUUAUGAAUAAGGAUCGGCUAACUCCGUGCCAGCAGCCGCGGUAAUACGGAGGAUCCGAGCGUUAUCCGGAUUUAUUGGGUUUAAAGGGAGCGUAGGUGGAUUGUUAAGUCAGUUGUGAAAGUUUGCGGCUCAACCGUAAAAUUGCAGUUGAAACUGGCAGUCUUGAGUACAGUAGAGGUGGGCGGAAUUCGUGGUGUAGCGGUGAAAUGCUUAGAUAUCACGAAGAACUCCGAUUGCGAAGGCAGUUCACUGGACUGCAACUGACACUGAGGCUCGAAAGUGUGGGUAUCAAACAGGAUUAGAUACCCGAGUAGUC
Molecule: ribosomal RNA, 460 nt
Filed under: uncultured bacterium
Lineage: Bacteria
Description: partial 16S ribosomal RNA
Rfam family: Bacterial small subunit ribosomal RNA
Source: RNAcentral